UACGUAGGUGACCAGCGUUGUCCGGAUUUACUGGGCGUAAAGAGCGCGCAGGCGGUCGUUCAAGUCGAGUGUGAAAGCCCCCGGCUCAACUGGGGAGGGUCACUCGAUACUGAUCGACUUGAAGGCAGGAGAGGGAAGCGGAAUUCCCGGUGUAGUGGUGAAAUGCGUAGAUAUCGGGAGGAACACCAGUGGCGAAGGCGGCUUCCUGGCCUGUUCUUGGCGCUGAGGCGCGAAAGCGUGGGGAGCGAACAGG
RNAcentral lists this ribosomal RNA (253 nucleotides) under uncultured bacterium. RNAcentral's name for it is "partial 16S ribosomal RNA". It matches the Rfam family "Bacterial small subunit ribosomal RNA", at positions 524 to 776 of the family's 1533-position model. The record is from RNAcentral.